GAUGAACGCUGGCGGCGUGCCUAAUACAUGCAAGUCGAGCGAACAGAUGAGGAGCUUGCUCCUCUGACGUUAGCGGCGGACGGGUGAGUAACACGUGGAUAACCUACCUAUAAGACUGGGAUAACUUCGGGAAACCGGAGCUAAUACCGGAUAAUAUAUUGAACCGUAUGGUUCAAUAGUGAAAGACGGUUUUGCUGUCAGUUAUCGCUUGAUCUUCGCCGCAUUAGCUGGUUGGUAAUGUAACGGCUUACCAAGGGAACGAGGCGUAGCCGACCUGAGAGGGUGAUCGGCCACACGGGAGCUGAGACACGGCCCAGACUCCUACGGUAGGCCGCAGAAGGGAAUCUUCCGCAAUGGGCGAAAGCCUUGCGGAGCAACGCCGAGUGAGUUAUGAAGGUCUUCGGAUCGUAAAACUCUGUUAUUAGGGAAGAACAAAUGUGUAAGUAACUAAGCACGUCUUGACGGUACCUAAUCAGAAAGCCACGGCUAACUACGUG
RNAcentral lists this ribosomal RNA (497 nucleotides) under uncultured bacterium. Its description in RNAcentral is "partial 16S ribosomal RNA". It matches the Rfam family "Bacterial small subunit ribosomal RNA", at positions 28 to 507 of the family's 1533-position model. The record is from RNAcentral.